Molecule: ribosomal RNA, 452 nt
Filed under: uncultured bacterium
Lineage: Bacteria
Description: bacterial SSU rRNA
Rfam family: Bacterial small subunit ribosomal RNA
Source: RNAcentral
CCUACGGGGGGCACCAGUGGGGAAUAUUGCACAAUGGGCGCAAGCCUGAUGCAGCGACGCCGCGUGGGGGAUGAAGGCCUUCGGGUUGUAAACUCCUUUCGCUAGGGACGAAGCCUUUUUUGAGGUGACGGUACCUGGAUAAGAAGCACCGGCUAACUACGUGCCAGCAGCCGCGGUAAUACGUAGGGUGCAAGCGUUGUCCGGAAUUACUGGGCGUAAAGAGCUCGUAGGUGGUUUGUCGCGUCGUCUGUGAAAUUCCGGGGCUUAACUCCGGGCGUGCAGGCGAUACGGGCAUAACUUGAGUGCUGUAGGGGAGACUGGAAUUCCUGGUGUAGCGGUGAAAUGCGCAGAUAUCAGGAGGAACACCGAUGGCGAAGGCAGGUCUCUGGGCAGUAACUGACGCUGAGGAGCGAAAGCAUGGGUAGCGAACAGGAUUAGAUACCCGUGUAGUC